This 497-nucleotide ribosomal RNA is filed under the name uncultured bacterium. Its description in RNAcentral is "partial 16S ribosomal RNA". It matches the Rfam family "Bacterial small subunit ribosomal RNA", at positions 28 to 507 of the family's 1533-position model. The record is from RNAcentral.
GACGAACGCUGGCGGCGUGCCUAAUACAUGCAAGUAGAACGCUGAAGAGAGGAGCUUGCUCUUCUUGGAUGAGUUGCGAACGGGUGAGUAACGCGUAGGUAACCUGCCUGGUAGCGGGGGAUAACUAUUGGAAACGAUAGCUAAUACCGCAUAAAAUUGAUUAUUGCAUGAUAAUUAAUUGAAAGAUGCAACUGCAUCACUACCAGAUGGACCUGCGUUGUAUUAGCUAGUUGGUGAGGUAACGGCUCACCAAGGCGACGAUACAUAGCCGACCUGAGAGGGUGAUCGGCCACACUGGGACUGAGACACGGCCCAGAAUCCUACGGGAGGCAGCAGUAGGGAAUCUUCGGAAAUGGGGGGAACCCUGACCGAGCAACGCCGCGUGAGUGAAGAAGGUUUUCGGAUCGUAAAGCUCUGUUGUAAGAGAAGAACGGGUGUGAGAGUGGAAAGUUCACACUGUGACGGUAUCUUACCAGAAAGGGACGGCUAACUACGUG